This 1167-nucleotide long non-coding RNA is filed under the name Marmota monax (woodchuck). The record is from RNAcentral. Lineage: Eukaryota; Metazoa; Chordata; Mammalia; Rodentia; Sciuridae.
GUGAAGCCCCAGCUCAAGGCCAGAGGCCCUGUUUGCACAUUUCUACAAAGUACUAUACUGGAUACAUGUUUGUGAAAAACUAGUGAGGGGGUGUCCAGCACCUGGAGUGCUGGUAUCUUCCCGGCCAGUGGCCAAGUAAAACAGGGCGACUCGAAAAUAGGAAGUUUAUCUACAUUGAACUCUUUAGCAGAGACUCUUUUGCUGACAGCCCUAAAAUCAGCCAUGAUGAAGAGGGCUUUUCUGUGGAGAAAAGUGGUGCCACUUCAGUCUAACACUUCUCUUACUGUCUUGAAAUUCUUUAUUUUUAAACCAGGGGGCCUUUUCCAGUUCGUAUUGGGUCCAGCAAGUCACAAUAACCUGUCCUGACUGCUACAGGGGGACCGGAAGCCCUGGGCCCCCGCAGAGAAUCAGCCUGGAGACCUGCCUUACCUGCCCCCCACACACACACACCUGCCUUUGAUCUACACACUUCUCCACAGUGAGGUUCCGUUCCAGGCACUCGGGAUUCAGCAAUGAGGGCUGCUGGUGUGGAGCUGCUGUGCAGAUGGAGAUGGGCUCCGGGGACACCUUAGCACUGGCUGGUGAGCUGAGGCUUAGCUCUCCCCUUCAAGGAACCCAGGUCUCAGAGGGGGAGACAGAGGAGACUGCUAGGAGGGGAGGUUGGAAGGAGGGUUGAGGUUCCCUGUCUGCCAGGAAGGCCCAGAGGUCAGGGAGGAGAAUACACCUGCACAGGCUUUAUAUCCAGGAAUAAUGGGCCAGGUGGAGCCAGGAAGGGCACCUGGAAAGAUGCCCCAGCAUGUGCAGAGACAGGAGUGUGACACACAGCCUGGACUCAGGCCGUUUCCGCCGGGAGCCCUGUGUCCUCAGCUGUGUCCAGAGCCCAGCCAGCAUACACACUCAGAAGUAAACCAGUGGCUUCAAGAGUGAACCACUGCAGGGGCGCAGGAGCAAGCAUAGAAGGCCUGGGUCUCCUCGCUGGCCACAGAGGGUGUGGGACUGACCCCAGGAGAGGCAGCUUGCCCACCACACCAUGCCGUGCCCACAUACCUGGCCCGCCUUCUCACCAAGCGCUCCUGCCACGCAGACACCUGUGGCCUCUCUCCCACUAGAACAAAGGCUCUGUGGGAAAGACUUGGGCUUGCCCACUUCCGUGUCUCCAGCACAUAA